Molecule: ribosomal RNA, 253 nt
Filed under: uncultured bacterium
Lineage: Bacteria
Description: partial 16S ribosomal RNA
Rfam family: Bacterial small subunit ribosomal RNA
Source: RNAcentral
UACAGAGGUCCCAAGCGUUGUUCGGAUUCACUGGGCGUAAAGGGUGCGCAGGCGGUCGGGUGUGUCAGAUGUGAAAUCCCGAGGCUCAACCUCGGAACUGCGUCUGAAACUACUCGACUAGAGUACUGGAGAGGGUAACGGAAUUCACGGUGUAGCAGUGAAAUGCGUAGAUAUCGUGAGGAACACCAGAGGCGAAGGCGGUUACCUGGACAGUUACUGACGCUCAGGCACGAAAGCAUGGGGAGCAAACAGG